UUUAGUUCAGUGGCAUUCAGUUCAGCGCAGGUGAUUUUGGAACCAGAAGAUGCUGGUAAAACCAAGAGUAAUGUUGUUCAAGAUAAUGGUUUAGUGAAGAAUAUUUAACCAAGCAGAAAACAGUGCCUUACUUGGUUCAGAAUUAAUGUGAAGACAAAUAUUUUUUUGAUAUUAUUUCAUACACCCUUGUACCAGUGUAUUUGCGGACAAAGGCAGUAAAUAAUUAAACGCCAGUUAACAUAUCGAAUGUCUGCAAUAAGUAUAACAUAUUAUCGUCUGUAAACACUUCAUUUAUUCCAGAUUUAUUUCUAAUAAAUCUCUUGAUUUCUAUUACAGUAGCUAUACAUUUACUUCUCCGUGUCUCUUUGGUUUGAUAAUACCGUUAAAUCAACUACAAAUACACGUAUUUGUAAUGAUGCAAUUGGAGCUAGCAUGUAAAAUAUUUUAUUUUACUGGCCAUUUGCUGAUUAAGGAAUCUCACAAAAAUUAAUGAAACACAAGCUGUACCCUAAAUGAAAUGCUCACCAUAUAAGCAAGGAAUGCAGUAUUCGUAUGUAUAUGUACAGCGCAACAUAAAACAUCCAACUGCUUCUGAGAUAAGUGAAAAAGAUCGCCCUAAAGAAGUUUAAUCUGCAACGUUCUGCCUAAAAUAUCGUAACCUUUAUUCCCGCUUAAACCAACGGCGUCUUUUUUAAAUAUCAUGUAAUGGAAUGGAAAACGUUCGUACUUACUCCUAAAUUGGUAGGUAAUGCGGUACAACUGUGUGUUAAACUGUUAUACAAACAAUGAAACAUCUCUAACUGCAAUCCUUGCAAUACAAAUUGUUUCUGUAGCUUGAAAAUUGAGACGACUCUGUGUUCAUGAAAGGUUGACAGAAACGUUCUGCAUCAUGAAAAGAUAAGAGUACGAUUUUUGGAAGGUGCAAUCUUGGCACAUCUUAGGUUUGUUGCCAUAUAACUUUUAUAAUAUUAUUUAUGCGUAUCCUUAUUAAUUAAUUUUAAAAUAUUAUAACCUUGAAAUUGUCAGCUUCACAGUAUUUUUAAGGACCAAAUAGACAAUAUUUUAACACGUGAUUCUUCAAAAUCUCAUAGUUAGUUACUUUUUGCUUCUUUCUCUAACAUAGGUGUAUGUUUGAGCUGUAGUUAUUCUAUACAUUCAAAGUAAAUUAAAUAAUUGUCCAAUGCUUAACAAGUUCUUCGAUAUGUAUUGAAGAGUUUGUUUUAACUACGCAGUAUAAUUUAUUUUGAUAGUUUUUUAGAGAUGAAGCGGUAUCUGUUCCAAUUGUCAUGUUGGCAAAAACAUGUUUACUACGAUUUAUCUUCGUCGAUUUAUGUUCUACAUCCACCCUGUAGAUCCGAAUUUGUUUGAACUUAUAUUAAUAACAAAUUCGGUUCUAGAGAGGUUUGUGUGGGGCAUUUGUUAACAGCGGUUUAAAAUACACAUCGACGAAUUCAGUGGUAAUGUUAAAAGCACAAAUUCAAUAGUUGGCAGGGAAUCGAAGUUCAACCAGUGAAUUUGGACUGUAUUUCUAAAAAUAAUUUUGAUACGUAAAUCAAUUGAUAUAUUUUCUCCAGCAAAAUAAAAUACAUAGUUUUGUGUCAUUUAUGUAAACAGGUUAAGCAGACACUUACAUUGUUAUACAACUCCCAUGUUUUCAACAAUACCUCCAUGUUUUUGAUAUACAUCUCAAAAAAUUAUUAAAAUAAUCUUUAAGAAUUUUUGAAAUUUCUUAAAAAACAAACACCUUUAAGACGUCUUUUCAGCUUGUUUCCAGCUACCGUUGGAUCACGUACCGCUUGCUUUGGAACGUAUUCCAUGUCUUUGGCAUCGAAUGCGUGUGCAAAUUAGCAUGACUUUACCUUCGAAUUUUCAAUGCUCGACACGAUCCUAGUUAAUUUGGUCUGAUCACAGGGUUAUGCAAAAUAAUAUCGUAGGUAUUUAAUAACUUUAGGAUGCGUGUUACGGAUUUUUAUUAAAGAUAACGUAAAUUUCAUGUGACUUUUGAUUCCAGGAGGCAAACACAGGCCGAAAUUAAAAUAGUACCAUCAUGUUUUUUCAAAAUAAUUGUAGAAUUAUCAUGUUGAAAUAGACUAUUUGACCUCUUUAUUGCAUAUUACUUUGAUAUGUUAAUGUUACAUAUUUCAAUUACGGUGAAAUAUUCUCAAAAACAGAUGUAAAAUAAGAAUGUAAAACCACGUAAAAAAGCUUUCUUAUUUCUGUAGGAAUUUCGUUUAGGUUACGAUUCAGUUUCAAUUAGAAAUCAUUAGAAAAUACGUGAUACUCAAAAAGAAGCAAAAUUAACAUAAUAUUUUCGAUUGACUACAAGUAUUACACUAGACGCAACAGUUGGCUAACGAAAAUAAUGCAAACAAAUCAUGGUAGAGGUAUAUUACGACCGUAAGGAUGGUUCAAAAAUCUUUUAAAUAGCUACAUGAGUCGCCAAAGUAAUGAAAAAUAUAAACUACUGCUGUCUCUGAGAAAAAGGUUAUUAUGCCAUUUUUGGCAAAAUAUAUGUAAAAUUGUUUAAAUCCACGAAAAAAAUAAAUUUUCAAUCGUG
Molecule: long non-coding RNA, 2557 nt
Organism: Anopheles arabiensis
Lineage: Eukaryota; Metazoa; Arthropoda; Insecta; Diptera; Culicidae
Exons: 3
Source: RefSeq, a predicted model, not a curated record